RNAcentral lists this ribosomal RNA (497 nucleotides) under uncultured bacterium. RNAcentral's name for it is "partial 16S ribosomal RNA". It matches the Rfam family "Bacterial small subunit ribosomal RNA", at positions 28 to 507 of the family's 1533-position model. The record is from RNAcentral.
GAUGAACGCUGGCGGCGUGCCUAAUACAUGCAAGUCGAGCGAACGGACGAGAAGCUUGCUUCUCUGAUGUUAGCGGCGGACGUGUGAGUAACACGUGGAUAACCUACCUAUAAGACUGGGAUAACUUCGGGAAACCGGAGCUAAUACCGGAUAAUAUUUUGAACCGCAUGGUUCAACAGUGAAAGACGGUCUUGCUGUCACUUAUAGAUGGAUCCGCGCUGCAUUAGCUAGUUGGUAAGGUAACGGCUUACCAAGGCAACGAUGCAUAGCCGACGUGAGAGGGUGAUAGGCCACACUGGAACUGAGCCACGGUCCAGACUACUACGGGAGGCAGCAGUAGGGAAUCUUCCGCAAUGGGCGAAAGCCUGACGGAGCAACGCCGAGUGAGUGAUGAAGGUCUUCGGAUCGUAAAACUCUGUUAUUAGGGAAGAACAUAUGUGUAAGUAACUGUGCACAUCUUGACGGUACCUAAUCAGAAAGCCACGGCUAACUACGUG